Molecule: long non-coding RNA, 357 nt
Organism: Triticum dicoccoides
Lineage: Eukaryota; Viridiplantae; Streptophyta; Magnoliopsida; Poales; Poaceae
Exons: 3
Source: RefSeq, a predicted model, not a curated record
UCCAUACUCCUAUUUCCCCCAUCUCGCCUGUUCUUCUUCUUCCCCUCCCCCAAGCAAACGAGAAGGAUCAAUGGCCGCUCGGAUCACGAGGCUGCUCCACCACCACAACCGCCGCCUCCUCGCCACCGCGGCAGAGGCCUCCGCUCGUCGCCUGCCGCGCGCUCCACUUGGCGGCGCCAUCUACAAGGAUGUUGCAAAGGCUGAAGCAUCCUCUUUAAAAAAAUUCAAGGUGGUACAUGACCAAGUCAAGCCCUUCUAGUCCUCUGACAAUGCAGGAGUACCGCAAAACAUUUCCUUCUUUAAUAAGGUCAUCUGCAUCUUACUCCUCACAAGCUUCAGACCAAAAUCCCAAAGAGG